Molecule: non-coding RNA, 21 nt
Filed under: Caenorhabditis elegans
Lineage: Eukaryota; Metazoa; Nematoda; Chromadorea; Rhabditida; Rhabditidae
Source: RNAcentral
UGCAAUCAACUUUUUGAGUCA